UACAGAGGGGGCAAGCGUUGUUCGGAAUUACUGGGCGUAAAGGGCGCGUAGGCGGCCUUCUAAGUCGAACGUGAAAUCCCUGGGCUCAACCCAGGAACUGCGUCCGAUACUGGAAGGCUUGAAUCCGGGAGAGGGAUGCGGAAUUCCAGGUGUAGCGGUGAAAUGCGCAGAUAUCAGGAGGAACACCGGUGGCGAAGGCGGUUCUCUGGGCAUGUCCUGACGCUGAGGAGCGAAAGUGUGGGGAGCGAACAGG
Molecule: ribosomal RNA, 253 nt
Filed under: uncultured bacterium
Lineage: Bacteria
Description: partial 16S ribosomal RNA
Rfam family: Bacterial small subunit ribosomal RNA
Source: RNAcentral